This 443-nucleotide ribosomal RNA is filed under the name uncultured bacterium. Its description in RNAcentral is "bacterial SSU rRNA". It matches the Rfam family "Bacterial small subunit ribosomal RNA", at positions 338 to 795 of the family's 1533-position model. The record is from RNAcentral.
CCUACGGGGGGCAGCAGUGGGGAAUAUUGCACAAUGGGGGAAACCCUGAUGCAGCGACGCCGCGUGAGCGAAGAAGUAUUUCGGUAUGUAAAGCUCUAUCAGCAGGGAAGAAGAAAGUGACGGUACCUGACUAAGAAGCUCCGGCUAAAUACGUGCCAGCAGCCGCGGUAAUACGUAUGGAGCAAGCGUUAUCCGGAUUUACUGGGUGUAAAGGGAGCGUAGGCGGUGCUAUAAGUCUGAUGUGAAAGCCCGGGGCUCAACCGCGGGACUGCAUUGGAAACUGUAGGACUGGAGUGUAGGAGGGGUAAGUGGAAUUCCUAGUGUAGCGGUGAAAUGCGUAGAUAUUAGGAGGAACACCGGUGGCGAAGGCGGCUUACUGGACGACAACUGACGCUGAGGCUCGAAAGCGUGGGGAGCAAACAGGAUUAGAUACCCCGGUAGUC